AAAGCCUGACGCAGCGACGCCGCGUGAGGGAUGAAGGUUUUCGGAUCGUAAACCUCUGUCAGAAGGGAAGAAACCGCACCGUGCUAAUCAGCGGUGCCUUGACGGUACCUUCAAAGGAAGCACCGGCUAACUCCGUGCCAGCAGCCGCGGUAAUACGAAGGGGGCUAGCGUUGCUCGGAAUCACUGGGCGUAAAGCGCACGUAGGCGGAUCGUUAAGUCAGGGGUGAAAUCCUGGGGCUCAACCUCAGAACUGCCCUUGAUACUGGCGAUCUCGAGUUCGAGAGAGGUUGGUGGAACUCCGAGUGUAGAGGUGAAAUUCGUAGAUAUUCGGAAGAACACCAGUGGCGAAGGCGGCCAACUGGCUCGAUACUGACGCUGAGGUGCGAAAGCGUGGGGAGCAAACA
RNAcentral lists this ribosomal RNA (404 nucleotides) under uncultured Xanthobacteraceae bacterium. RNAcentral's name for it is "bacterial SSU rRNA". It matches the Rfam family "Bacterial small subunit ribosomal RNA", at positions 378 to 774 of the family's 1533-position model. Lineage: Bacteria; Pseudomonadati; Pseudomonadota; Alphaproteobacteria; Hyphomicrobiales; Xanthobacteraceae. The record is from RNAcentral.